RNAcentral lists this ribosomal RNA (777 nucleotides) under Drosophila guanche. Its description in RNAcentral is "eukaryotic LSU rRNA". It matches the Rfam family "Eukaryotic large subunit ribosomal RNA", at positions 249 to 809 of the family's 3401-position model. Lineage: Eukaryota; Metazoa; Arthropoda; Insecta; Diptera; Drosophilidae. The record is from RNAcentral.
CAGGCGUAUUCUAGAGUCAGGUUGCUUGAGAGUGCAGCCUAAAGCAGGUGGUAAACUCCAUCUAAGGCUAAAUAUUACAGCGAGACCGAUAGCAAACAAGUACUGUGAAGGAAAGUUGCAAAGAACUUUGAAGAGAGAGUUCAACAGGACGUGAAACCACUAACAGGCAAACGGAUGGAACCACGAAGUAUGACUGAUCACUCAAUUCAGCCAUAAUCAUUGGCGAUUCUGGCGUUUUACGGGCCCGUUUUGGGUUGUUGGCGUCGGUUUUUGUGUCAAUGAUUACGGUGCAUUUUGUAGUGUCAGUGCUAAAGCCACGUCCAAUUGAAUGACUGGAACGGUUGUAGUAUGAAUCAGCAGGAAGGUGGCUUCUCGCUUUCGGGCUUGAAGUGUUAUAGCCUGUCGAUUGGACCGUUUCCGAGUGUAUCGAUUGGUUCAAGUUCUCUAGCAAUAGAGUUUGUUGGUUGCUUGCCAGUGUGCAUCUCUCAUUGCUGCACGGCCGUUCUUUUGCGUCUUCGUGAUGUACAAAGGCGACUGUGUAUGCGGUGUCUGUGUGUGCACUGUGCAGUGUAGCUCUCAACAGUGGCCCGAGUAGGUCGGUGUCCAUCCGACCCGUCUUGAAACACGGACCAAGGAGCCUACCAUGCACGCGAGUCGCUCAGUCUUGUAUAGGCUCGGGAGGCGUAAUGAAAGUAAAGCUACGAGGCUGUAACAGGUCGCAGUAGCAGCCCGCCUGCUUUCUCUAUCGGGAAUAUGGCGGAGCCGGAGCGUGUACGG